AAGUAUUAUUAAGUAAUGGACAAUUCAUACAAAGCAAAAAAAAAUUAUCUUUGUGAAAAAAUUCCUUAAACUUUUCUCUUUAUAGAAUAAAAGAAGUGUUUUUGUAAACGAUUUUCAUGUUUUGCAAAAUAAAGUCAAAUUCAAUGAUGAAAAGCAUAAAAACAGAUAAAUACGAUUUGACAUAUUUUAGUGAAUAAUCAAUGAUGAACGAAGAUUCAAAAUCAAUUUUAACUUUGAUUAUAUGAAAAACAAAAAAAGUUUUGACAAGAGAAAAAUAAGCGAAAAAUAAGCAAAAAGAGAGCAGAAUUUAUAAUAAACUAAAUGACAGAAUUUUGACUCACAUACAUCUUCCAAAACUAUGUGGUACACUAUUCUCUCUACUUCACUCAUUUAAAACUAAUUGUUUUCUCAUAACAAAAGUCCUCCACAUCUGGAAUCCCGCUACUAUAAGCGGUACAUACAGAAGGAAGCUGAGUAACCUUGAAACCACAAUGAUACAUUCAUCAUCACUAAAAUGGGCAGAAACAUUUAUGUUAUGGUUUCUUUUAUUUUUUUGCUUUAAACUCUUUUUGUUGUUUUAAUUUGCAGAGAUAUGAUAUGGCCUCUUACGUUUAUCAGUACUUCAAGCUUUUGAAAACCAUUGAUGGUUAUGAACCCCACCCCUCUCAAACGCAUAUUAAAAAGGUCAAAUCUCUAACGAGAAUGAAGUUUGGGUGCUUGGAUUUCGAUAGUGAACAGCUUUGUGAUUCAUCUCAGUUCUCUCUUGCUCUUGCAGGUUUCUCACCAAACCUUCUUUUUUGGUUGAAUCAAUUUUUAAUUUUCUUAUGAUUUUGCUUUUUCUUUAUUCCAGUGAAUAUAUUAAAGUUCUCCGUGACAAAAGCAAUCUUUCUUGAUUUUCUAUAUGGCUUUGGUGAUGAGAAAGCUUUCAAGGAAAUACUUGGUAAUUUUGUUACCAAGAAUAUGAAGAUAUUUUUUUUGUCAAAACCAUUCACAGAAGAAGGUAUUUUUUUUUACCGCACUUGUUUGUUCUAUAUUUGUAAUUUAGUAAUCUGACACUACAAGAAAUGUGAGUAUUAAUAGCAGAAUAUGAUAGCGUUUUUUUCGAUUAUGCUAUGGUUGACAUACCUCUUACUUUUAGAUAGCGUUUGCGAAAAUACAAACGCUAUGCAAAACUAAAGCGGAAAAUAAUUGAUUUUCCCUCUCACCCUUGUUUCAUUUUUCCUCUCACUCCAUUUUAUUUGCCUCCAAAAAUCCUAAACACUAAAACCAAAAUUUUAAACACAACCCUUAAAUUCUAACAAAAAUUUUAAACGCUAAUAUUUUAAUAUCAAAUCUCAAAUUUAACUUCAAUCUUAAAUAUAAACUCAAAAAUUAAUAUUUUUUGAAAUUAACCUAAAAUCUUAAAUCAAUACCCCAAACCUUUAACUUUCAAACUCUCUACUCAAACCUUAUUCUAAACUCCAAACUUGAAAACUAAUUUUAAAAAUUAAUCAUAUACCCUAAACUAUAACUAAAAAUAUUUAAAUUCUAAUCUUUUUAUUAUUUUUUAAAAUAAUCAUAUACCAUAAGAUCUAAUUAGAAAUCUUUUUGUCUAUGAAUAUUAUAUAUAUAUCAUAUCAUAUCAUAUCCUAAAUUAAUUAUAUAUCCUAAACUCUUACUAGAAAUCUUAAAAUUCUAAUCUUUUUCUUAUUUUAAAACAUUUUAGUUUCAAAUUUUAAAUCUAAUACCAUAAACCUAAACUCUAAAUGUAUAUCAUAACACAAAUCAUAUACCCUAAAUCAUAUCACAUAUACUAUAAACUCAAAAUUUUAAACUCUGAUUUUUAAAUACAAAAUAAAUAUGAUCAGUAAUUAGAAUAUAAUUUAGUUUUUAUAUAAAUAAAAUUAGUUAAACAUAAAAUUUUAAAUUCCUAAAACAACUAUAAUAAAAAAAAUUGUUUUUGAUUGAUUAAUUUUGGACCAUUGAUUGGUUUUAAUCCAAAGGUCACAAGUCUAUUUUAGUUAAUCCUCUCACUUUCUCUUUAUUUGUUAGUCAAUCAAAAUUAGAAUUACAAUUUGUGGCCAUUGAUUGUUUUUGAUCUUGUGGCCUAAAAUCAAUCUUCUUCAUCUAUCCAUUCAAACAUCUCUCUCACGAUUGUGAUUAACCUAAAAUCACAAAAUCAUCAGAUCAACGCACAAAGAUUGGCUCGAAUCAGCCUCUCCCGAUUCAAACUGUCUCAGUUCAAUCCUCUCUCUGUCUAUCUCUCUCAGCCAUGAUGAAAGCUUCAUCAACAACGCUACUCGAGUCAGAUUUGAGCUACAAACAGAGAUGGUGGAGGAGGAGAAGAGGCUUCGAUGGUUAAGUUCUGUAAUCUGCUGAUUCUGUGUUUGUUUGUGUCAUUUCAAUCUCAGUUCCAGGUUAGUUGUUUCGUUUCUCUGUUCUGAACGAUGCAAUAACAUUGAUUCAUCAGGAACAUGGGAUUAGUAAGUUAAAGUUGUAAGCUUUGACUUGAUUCUUAAUAAACUUAAUGGAUUUUCAUGAGUUUUCUCAUCUUAUGAUCACCAAUCUAUCUACAUUCUUGGGUUUAUUUUGUUUGUUUACUAAUGUUUUCAGUUACUUGGAGCCUCUUGCAGUUGCUCUAGAUAAAGAGAAGUGGAGCAUGUGUGUUUACUCAAAGUGAAACAGAGUUUGAUGGAGAUUGUUGAGUUCGAUAUGGCUUCUCCUUUCUUCUUUCUCUCUCGCAUGAUUGGUUCUCUUCAUGUUUUUACUAAUGUCUCAGACGGUUAUGAAUCAAGCUUUGAUCAAGAAAGCUACUCUGAGACAAGUUCAGGUAAACUAUCAAAGGGAGAUGAACACGAGGCAUAGGAGCUCGUGAAAAUUUAAAUGGUGAAGCUCAUUAUUGAGGAUGAUGGUCCGUAUGAACUAAUUUGAGUUUUGAUGUUGAAGAAGAUGAGAAGCUUGGUUGGAGAAGAUGACAUGGGAGCAGAGAUUAGAGUUUGAGAUUGAAUGUUAGCAUAUGCAGCUCUUGAGAUGUUGAAUGUAGAGUUAGCCAUACAAAAAUGUACUUAGAAAUAUUGUCAUACUAGUUAUCUCAAAUCCUUGUAUGUUUUGGAUUUUUAAUGAAAAACAUAUGGUAUUUUAUUA
Brassica napus (rape) is the source of this 3123-nucleotide long non-coding RNA. RefSeq lists it as uncharacterized. The transcript has 2 exons. Lineage: Eukaryota; Viridiplantae; Streptophyta; Magnoliopsida; Brassicales; Brassicaceae. The record is from RefSeq and is a predicted model, not a curated record.